AGUGAACGCUGGCGGUAGGCCUAACACAUGCAAGUCGAACGGCAGCACAGUAAGAGCUUGCUCUUACGGGUGGCGAGUGGCGGACGGGUGAGGAAUACAUCGGAAUCUACUUUUUCGUGGGGGAUAACGUAGGGAAACUUACGCUAAUACCGCAUACGACCUACGGGUGAAAGCAGGGGAUCUUCGGACCUUGCGCGAUUGAAUGAGCCGAUGUCGGAUUAGCUAGUUGGCGGGGUAAAGGCCCACCAAGGCGACGAUGCGUAGCUGGUCUGAGAGGAUGAUCGGCCACACUGGAACUGAGACACGGUCCAGACUCCUACGGGAGGCAGCAGUGGGGAAUAUUGGACAAUGGGCGCAAGCCUGAUCCAGCCAUACCGCGUGGGUGAAGAAGGCCUUCGGGUUGUAAAGCCCUUUUGUUGGGAAAGAAAAGCAGCAGGUUAAUACCCCGCUGUUCUGACGGUACCCAAAGAAUAAGCACCGGCUAACUUCGUG
RNAcentral lists this ribosomal RNA (492 nucleotides) under uncultured bacterium. Its description in RNAcentral is "partial 16S ribosomal RNA". It matches the Rfam family "Bacterial small subunit ribosomal RNA", at positions 29 to 507 of the family's 1533-position model. The record is from RNAcentral.